AUCUGAAAAUUGCAUGGGACACCUUGAGUGCUGAUGRGAUUAUAACAGAGGACAGAAAGAACACUCUCACUGCACUCACACCCUCUGCAAUACAAAAGUGACUUUGUAGAGCUUGAUGGUAGAGCAAUUCCUUUAAUAGAUUGUGCAGCGUUGUGUCCGUGAAUUUCCAGAGUUUGCAUUAAAAAGUGACAGAACAUYAGAGUGCCAGAAGCUGCUCAUAUUGUGGCCCUGAAGCAAUCCUGCUCACCAAAUAAAUAAACCAGAGGCAUGAAACCUACUGUUCCAUCUUCUGUGCCAGAUGAAUACAGAAGGCUCUCUCCAUGCAAUUUGCAAGGUUCAUGUAUUUCUACGAUUGCACCCAACUUUCAUAAAGCAGCAGGAUUAGGGCAUCAUUCCUGCAGGACACACCACCUUUCCUUACACAAACUCCAUUYAAUAUCUCUGCCGCAGGUUCAGAACUGAUCACUGCUCCCAAGGCUGUUUGAAACACUCUGGCCACUGACCUCAGUUGUUACCACCCUCAUUUCCCAAUAUGGCCCAGAUUUGUAGUUACACUCUCUCUGGGAGCUGUUGAGGCUGCAGGGGGCUGGACAUGACAUUGGCUCUGAUCCCAGUGCCCUCACACAUGACCCCAAUCAGCUUCGCUACAAUUCUCAUGGUACACACAGGGUUUCCAGAUGGAAAGAGAAAAAGAAAUGUUAUCAGCACAAUCCAAAUGGAAAAGGGUUAUUUUUUUUUUCAUAGAUUAUCUCUGAUGCUGAUACAUGGGAGUUAUUAAUUAAUCUUUUUGUAUAAGAAUAGUUUCAUUUGUUUGAACAAGGGAAAUAUAUCAGGCUUACUUUGAUUGUCAGAUUSCUAUUUUUCUUUUAAAAUGGGAAAUAAUGCUAAAAGGAAUUAUCCUUUCUUUUUAAUGCAUUUUCUACUGUUCAUCAAAUCUCUCAGUCCAUGAUUUGGCGUACCACUAGAGCUGCUGAGUGUUGGAGCUGGGAAAGGAGCAGCGCUUCUGGACAGUCACUCAGUUUGUUGUGUUCAGUGUCAGUGGGAUGAGCAAAUAAGGUGGGCAGUAACUGGAGGAAAAWGCUGCUGUAUUUCUUUCUUGGCACAACCCAGGAUCUUUAUUUGCAAUUCACUUAUUGUUAUACAAGCCCCUUUUUGCCAGAUCCUCAAGUUUUGGCAGUUUCUUCAUUAAAGUCAUCUCUGCUAACAAAUCUUUCUUGAUUAUACCAAUUUUUAGUGCAGUUUAGAGGUGCAACUAUGCUAUACUGAGACCAAGUUGUUUGCUGGGUGAGCAGUUUACUGAGCAAAUAUGUAGUGCCAGAGUUCACACACAGCUCUGAACAUGUGUAAUUCAUACAUACAACUUAUUUUGUUAAGUAAGACUACGUUUGGAAGUUUUCAGAAUCAGAACCUGGAAUGACUUUUUCUGCCCUGCUCCUACUCCUCCAGCCUCAAACCCAUGAUCCAAAAAAUAAGCAACAUGCUGAACUGCAGAAAACUCUCACCAUCAGCUCACUUUUUAUUUAAUAGCAACCAGGUAUUUUUCCUGCCAGAUCCAUGCUGAGGUUUUGAUGACAUGCAUAUGGCAUACAGUGGCCAGUAAGGUUAAUCUCAGAUCUAUAUUUUUUAAUAUAGAUUCCMAUGAGGAUAUCAUAUUCUGCACCUGCUGUCGAUGUAAAGAUGGCUUUCCCAACUGCAACUCACCUCAYGGCGUGUUCUUGAAAACCUUUCACUUUUAACAUAUCUGCUUAAUAAAAAUGCCUUCAGUGACAGUGAAAAAUGGAACCUAUCAAUGUGUUACCAGCCCACAUUUCCAUUGCAACCAUCUAAACUUGAGAGAGCCRUGCACUCAGUGAGAGGCAAUGAUGCUGUUACAGCCUGACAAGGGCAUUUUGAGAUCCUUGGGCAUUGACUGCACAAAUGCUCUUAUAGGUUUAUCUUUUAGAAUGGGCCUUGCAGUWGGGAUAUUUGAAAAUUUCUGGCUUACAGGGCAUAACAGGAAUUGAUCUGAGAGCUCAGAGAAUGAACAGAAAUUGUGAGUGAGCCAAAGGUAAAUGUGUGUGUAUGUUCCCAUUGAGGAUAAAAGAAGCAACAAGUAAACCCACUACCAAAACCGAAAGAUCACAGUUCAGACUGUGUUUCUAAAAGAUGAAGAAAGGUAAAUCAAUCUUACCCUCAGAUUCAGCAACUUCUAAUAGCUCUGCCAGGGAUGUCAGCAGUGCUGCUGUCUGGCUGCAUUGUGGUUACGGGGUUCAUUUCAAACACUGCAAGCUGUGAACUGUCCUAGAAAAARCUCAACAACUGCAAUUAAACAGUUUUAAAGUCCUAAGUCAUAAAGAAUAGGCAAAUAGUUUUCUUUGCAGUGUCCUGCUUAGGUGGGAGCUGUCUGGCCACUCCUGCAGAAGGAGACUGUGCUCUUAGAAGCACACUUGUGGACACUUUUACAAGGAAGCACCCCAGACUCCUUCGUGCUUGUAGGGAUGAGCCUGAAUGUGUUGAGGUGUCACUAAUGAUCCUUGCAUGGA
Long non-coding RNA from Malurus melanocephalus (red-backed fairy wren), 2522 nucleotides. RefSeq lists it as uncharacterized. The record is from RefSeq and is a predicted model, not a curated record. NCBI's taxonomy places the organism in Eukaryota, Metazoa, Chordata, Aves, Passeriformes, Maluridae. The transcript has 3 exons.